This 105-nucleotide transfer RNA is filed under the name Didymella sp. IMI 355093. RNAcentral's name for it is "tRNA-Pro". The record is from RNAcentral. Lineage: Eukaryota; Fungi; Ascomycota; Dothideomycetes; Pleosporales; Didymellaceae.
GGUCCUGUGGUCUAGUGGUAUGAUUCUCGCUUAGGGCGGCCUUCAUUGGCCCAUUGAUCUAAGCUUUCUUGCGAGAGGCCCCGCGUUCGAGUCGCGGCAGGACCC